AUUGAACGCUGGCGGCAUGCCUUACACAUGCAAGUCGAACGGUAACAGGUCUUCGGAUGCUGACGAGUGGCGAACGGGUGAGUAAUACAUCGGAACGUGCCCAGUCGUGGGGGAUAACGAAGCGAAAGCUUUGCUAAUACCGCAUACGAUCUACGGAUGAAAGCGGGGGAUCGCAAGACCUCGCGCGAUUGGAGCGGCCGAUGGCAGAUUAGGUAGUUGGUGGGGUAAAGGCUUACCAAGCCUACGAUCUGUAGCUGGUCUGAGAGGACGACCGGCCACACGGGGACUGAGACACGGCCCAGACUCCUACGGGAGGCAGCAGUGGGGAAUUUUGGACAAUGGGCGCAAGCCUGAUCCAGCAAUGCCGCGUGCAGGAUGAAGGCCUUCGGGUUGUAAACUGCUUUUGUACGGAACGAAAAGCUCUGGGUUAAUACCCUGGAGUCAUGACGGUACCGUAAGAAUAAGCACCGGCUAACUACGUGCCAGCAGCCGCGGUAA
RNAcentral lists this ribosomal RNA (498 nucleotides) under uncultured bacterium. RNAcentral describes it as "partial 16S ribosomal RNA". It matches the Rfam family "Bacterial small subunit ribosomal RNA", at positions 30 to 523 of the family's 1533-position model. The record is from RNAcentral.